UACGUAGGGUGCAAGCGUUGUCCGGAAUUAUUGGGUGUAAAGAGCUCGUAGGCGGUUCGUCGCGUCGGCUGUGAAAACCCGGAGCUCAACUCCGGGCCUGCAGUCGAUACGGGCGGACUUGAGUGUUGCAGGGGAGACUGGAAUUCCUGGUGUAGCGGUGAAAUGCGCAGAUAUCAGGAGGAACACCCGUAGCGAAGGCGGCACUCUGGGCCGGAACUGACGCUGAGGAGCGAGAGCGUGGGGAGCGAACAGG
Molecule: ribosomal RNA, 253 nt
Filed under: uncultured bacterium
Lineage: Bacteria
Description: partial 16S ribosomal RNA
Rfam family: Bacterial small subunit ribosomal RNA
Source: RNAcentral